This 2436-nucleotide ribosomal RNA is filed under the name Escherichia coli. RNAcentral describes it as "bacterial LSU rRNA". It matches the Rfam family "Bacterial large subunit ribosomal RNA", at positions 397 to 2818 of the family's 2925-position model. The record is from RNAcentral. Lineage: Bacteria; Pseudomonadati; Pseudomonadota; Gammaproteobacteria; Enterobacterales; Enterobacteriaceae.
CUGUGAGCUCGAUGAGUAGGGCGGGACACGUGGUAUCCUGUCUGAAUAUGGGGGGACCAUCCUCCAAGGCUAAAUACUCCUGACUGACCGAUAGUGAACCAGUACCGUGAGGGAAAGGCGAAAAGAACCCCGGCGAGGGGAGUGAAAAAGAACCUGAAACCGUGUACGUACAAGCAGUGGGAGCACGCUUAGGCGUGUGACUGCGUACCUUUUGUAUAAUGGGUCAGCGACUUAUAUUCUGUAGCAAGGUUAACCGAAUAGGGGAGCCGAAGGGAAACCGAGUCUUAACUGGGCGUUAAGUUGCAGGGUAUAGACCCGAAACCCGGUGAUCUAGCCAUGGGCAGGUUGAAGGUUGGGUAACACUAACUGGAGGACCGAACCGACUAAUGUUGAAAAAUUAGCGGAUGACUUGUGGCUGGGGGUGAAAGGCCAAUCAAACCGGGAGAUAGCUGGUUCUCCCCGAAAGCUAUUUAGGUAGCGCCUCGUGAAUUCAUCUCCGGGGGUAGAGCACUGUUUCGGCAAGGGGGUCAUCCCGACUUACCAACCCGAUGCAAACUGCGAAUACCGGAGAAUGUUAUCACGGGAGACACACGGCGGGUGCUAACGUCCGUCGUGAAGAGGGAAACAACCCAGACCGCCAGCUAAGGUCCCAAAGUCAUGGUUAAGUGGGAAACGAUGUGGGAAGGCCCAGACAGCCAGGAUGUUGGCUUAGAAGCAGCCAUCAUUUAAAGAAAGCGUAAUAGCUCACUGGUCGAGUCGGCCUGCGCGGAAGAUGUAACGGGGCUAAACCAUGCACCGAAGCUGCGGCAGCGACGCUUAUGCGUUGUUGGGUAGGGGAGCGUUCUGUAAGCCUGCGAAGGUGUGCUGUGAGGCAUGCUGGAGGUAUCAGAAGUGCGAAUGCUGACAUAAGUAACGAUAAAGCGGGUGAAAAGCCCGCUCGCCGGAAGACCAAGGGUUCCUGUCCAACGUUAAUCGGGGCAGGGUGAGUCGACCCCUAAGGCGAGGCCGAAAGGCGUAGUCGAUGGGAAACAGGUUAAUAUUCCUGUACUUGGUGUUACUGCGAAGGGGGGACGGAGAAGGCUAUGUUGGCCGGGCGACGGUUGUCCCGGUUUAAGCGUGUAGGCUGGUUUUCCAGGCAAAUCCGGAAAAUCAAGGCUGAGGCGUGAUGACGAGGCACUACGGUGCUGAAGCAACAAAUGCCCUGCUUCCAGGAAAAGCCUCUAAGCAUCAGGUAACAUCAAAUCGUACCCCAAACCGACACAGGUGGUCAGGUAGAGAAUACCAAGGCGCUUGAGAGAACUCGGGUGAAGGAACUAGGCAAAAUGGUGCCGUAACUUCGGGAGAAGGCACGCUGAUAUGUAGGUGAAGUCCCUCGCGGAUGGAGCUGAAAUCAGUCGAAGAUACCAGCUGGCUGCAACUGUUUAUUAAAAACACAGCACUGUGCAAACACGAAAGUGGACGUAUACGGUGUGACGCCUGCCCGGUGCCGGAAGGUUAAUUGAUGGGGUCAGCGCAAGCGAAGCUCUUGAUCGAAGCCCCGGUAAACGGCGGCCGUAACUAUAACGGUCCUAAGGUAGCGAAAUUCCUUGUCGGGUAAGUUCCGACCUGCACGAAUGGCGUAAUGAUGGCCAGGCUGUCUCCACCCGAGACUCAGUGAAAUUGAACUCGCUGUGAAGAUGCAGUGUACCCGCGGCAAGACGGAAAGACCCCGUGAACCUUUACUAUAGCUUGACACUGAACAUUGAGCCUUGAUGUGUAGGAUAGGUGGGAGGCUUUGAAGUGUGGACGCCAGUCUGCAUGGAGCCGACCUUGAAAUACCACCCUUUAAUGUUUGAUGUUCUAACGUUGACCCGUGAUCCGGGUUGCGGACAGUGUCUGGUGGGUAGUUUGACUGGGGCGGUCUCCUCCUAAAGAGUAACGGAGGAGCACGAAGGUUGGCUAAUCCUGGUCGGACAUCAGGAGGUUAGUGCAAUGGCAUAAGCCAGCUUGACUGCGAGCGUGACGGCGCGAGCAGGUGCGAAAGCAGGUCAUAGUGAUCCGGUGGUUCUGAAUGGAAGGGCCAUCGCUCAACGGAUAAAAGGUACUCCGGGGAUAACAGGCUGAUACCGCCCAAGAGUUCAUAUCGACGGCGGUGUUUGGCACCUCGAUGUCGGCUCAUCACAUCCUGGGGCUGAAGUAGGUCCCAAGGGUAUGGCUGUUCGCCAUUUAAAGUGGUACGCGAGCUGGGUUUAGAACGUCGUGAGACAGUUCGGUCCCUAUCUGCCGUGGGCGCUGGAGAACUGAGGGGGGCUGCUCCUAGUACGAGAGGACCGGAGUGGACGCAUCACUGGUGUUCGGGUUGUCAUGCCAAUGGCACUGCCCGGUAGCUAAAUGCGGAAGAGAUAAGUGCUGAAAGCAUCUAAGCACGAAACUUGCCCCGAGAUGAGUUCUCCCUGA